Molecule: ribosomal RNA, 800 nt
Filed under: uncultured bacterium
Lineage: Bacteria
Description: bacterial SSU rRNA
Rfam family: Bacterial small subunit ribosomal RNA
Source: RNAcentral
AGGACGAACGCUGGCGGCGUGCUUAACACAUGCAAGUCGAGCGGUAAGGCCCCUUCGGGGGUACACGAGCGGCGAACGGGUGAGUAACACGUGAGCAAUCUGCCCUUCACACGGGGAUAACUCCGGGAAACCGGUGCUAAUACCCGAUACGACCACUUCAGGCAUCUGAUGGUGGUGGAAAGUUCCGGCGGUGGAGGAUGAGCUCGCGGCCUAUCAGCUUGUUGGUGGGGUAAUGGCCUACCAAGGCAACGACGGGUAGCCGGCCUGAGAGGGUGACCGGCCACACUGGGACUGAGACACGGCCCAGACUCCUACGGGAGGCAGCAGUGGGGAAUAUUGGACAAUGGGCGAAAGCCUGAUCCAGCAACGCCGCGUGAGGGAUGACGGCCUUCGGGUUGUAAACCUCUUUCAGCAGGGACGAAGCGCAAGUGACGGUACCUGCAGAAGAAGCACCGGCCAACUACGUGCCAGCAGCCGCGGUAAUACGUAGGGUGCGAGCGUUGUCCGGAAUUAUUGGGCGUAAAGGGCUCGUAGGCGGUUUGUCGCGUCGGGGGUGAAAACUCAGGGCUUAACCCUGAGCCUGCUUCCGAUACGGGCAGACUAGAGGUAUGCAGGGGAGAACGGAAUUCCUGGUGUAGCGGUGAAAUGCGCAGAUAUCAGGAGGAACACCGGUGGCGAAGGCGGUUCUCUGGGCAUUACCUGACGCUGAGGAGCGAAAGUGUGGGGAGCGAACAGGAUUAGAUACCCUGGUAGUCCACACCGUAAACGUUGGGCGCUAGGUGUGGGACUCAUUCCACGAG